RNAcentral lists this ribosomal RNA (500 nucleotides) under uncultured diatom. RNAcentral's name for it is "bacterial SSU rRNA". It matches the Rfam family "Eukaryotic small subunit ribosomal RNA", at positions 492 to 992 of the family's 1831-position model. Lineage: Eukaryota; Bacillariophyta. The record is from RNAcentral.
GCAUCCAUGUCUUGUAAUUGGAAUGAGUAGAAUUUAAAUCCCUUAUCGAGUAUCAAUUGGAGGGCAAGUCUGGUGCCAGCAGCCGCGGUAAUUCCAGCUCCAAUAGCGUAUAUUAAAGUUGUUGCAGUUAAAAAGCUCGUAGUUGGAUUUCUGGUGGGAGCGAUCGGUCUGGCGCUUAGCGCGAGUACUUGCAUCGUCUCCGGCCAUCCUUGGGGAGAGUUUGUCUGGCAUUAAGUUGUCGGGCAGAGGAUCCUCAUCGUUUACUGUGAAAAAAUUAGAGUGUUCAAAGCAAGCUAAAGCUCUGAAUACAUUAGCAUGGAAUAACGCGAGAGGACUCGGUCCUUAUUUUGUUGGUCUUCAAGGAUGGAGUAAUGAUUAAGAGGGACAGUUGGGGGCAUUCGUAUUUCAUUGCUAGAGGUGAAAUUCUUGGAUUUAUGAAAGACGAACUUCUGCGAAAGCAUUUGCCAAGGGAUGUUUUCAUUGAUCAANAACGAAAGUUG